CCCCUACGGGGGGCAGCAGUGGGGAAUAUUGCACAAUGGGGGAAACCCUGAUGCAGCGACGCCGCGUGAGGGAAGACGGUCUUCGGAUUGUAAACCUCUUUCAGCAGGGAAGACAAAAGGACGGUACCUGCAGAAGAAGCCACGGCUAACUACGUGCCAGCAGCCGCGGUAAUACGUAGGUGGCAAGCGUUAUCCGGAAUUACUGGGUGUAAAGGGUGUGUAGGCGGGGCUGCAAGUCCGAUGUGAAAAUUAUUGGCUCAACCCAUAAACU
Molecule: ribosomal RNA, 271 nt
Filed under: uncultured bacterium
Lineage: Bacteria
Description: partial 16S ribosomal RNA
Rfam family: Bacterial small subunit ribosomal RNA
Source: RNAcentral